UACGUAGGGGGCAAGCGUUAUCCGGAUUUACUGGGUGUAAAGGGAGCGCAGACGGCAGUGCAAGCCUGGAGUGAAAGCCCGGGGCCCAACCCCGGGACUGCUCUGGAAACUGUACGGCUAGAGUACGGGAGGGGCAGGCGGAAUUCCUAGUGUAGCGGUGAAAUGCGUAGAUAUUAGGAGGAACACCGGCGGCGAAGGCGGCCUGCUGGACCGAAACUGACGUUGAGGCUCGAAAGCGUGGGGAGCAAACAGG
This 253-nucleotide ribosomal RNA is filed under the name uncultured bacterium. RNAcentral's name for it is "partial 16S ribosomal RNA". It matches the Rfam family "Bacterial small subunit ribosomal RNA", at positions 524 to 776 of the family's 1533-position model. The record is from RNAcentral.